Molecule: long non-coding RNA, 210 nt
Organism: Corticium candelabrum
Lineage: Eukaryota; Metazoa; Porifera; Homoscleromorpha; Homosclerophorida; Plakinidae
Exons: 3
Source: RefSeq, a predicted model, not a curated record
GAAAUGUACAAGUUGUAAGACAUCAUUUUUCAAUCUGCAAGCAUCCAAUCCUACCGGCUGUGAAGCUUGCAAUUGCAAUUCCAAUGGAUCCACAGCGUUGUCAAAGGGGGCAUGUGAUGAUACCGGUCAGUGUGUUUGCAAGGAAGGUGUGACUGGUCUGAAGUGUUCUGUUUGUGAGGAUGGAUUGUAUAUAAUGUCUUCUGAUGCUGG